Drosophila montana is the source of this 6346-nucleotide RNA transcript. It is a transcript of the gene named clathrin heavy chain, with no coding region annotated. NCBI's taxonomy places the organism in Eukaryota, Metazoa, Arthropoda, Insecta, Diptera, Drosophilidae. The record is from RefSeq and is a predicted model, not a curated record. The transcript has 8 exons.
CAUUCAUACUUUUUUUUCGAUGUAAUUUUUGCUCUUUCGUGUAUUUUUUAACGAAUAAGAAUAAUGUGUUAAAAGUUCAAUGUGAAUCGUAUCGUCGUGUGUUCGUGCAGACGUGCAAUUGUUAACCUACAGCAAUAAACUGUUUUUGGUGUGUCUUCACAAGCAACGCGAAACGAAAUUGCUAAAAAUUAAAACCGAGACGAAUCAGCAUAAGAAACCAACAAAAACAACGAACGACCAAACAAAAAGCAGAUCAGAACCAUAAAAAAACCAACAAAAGUCAACGUCAACGUUGACGCAGACAACAGUAUUCGUAUUCUCUCCCGUUUUUUUUUACUAACUUUUAUCAACAAUAAUAAAAGUGCGUGUGUUAUCUCUCGUUAAACCAAAAAGAAGAAGAGACUACAGCAACUAAGUUAGCAGUGAGCAGAGGAGCAGCAAACAACAACUCGCAACUCCCAAGCAGAGAGCCAAAAUAGCAGUCCGUCAAGAUGACGCAACCGUUACCCAUACGCUUUCAAGAGCAUUUACAGCUCACAAAUGUCGGCAUCAAUCCGAACUCCUUCUCAUUCAGCACGCUCACAAUGGAAUCGGAUAAGUUCAUUUGUGUGCGCGAGAAGACGAACGAUACCGCCCAGGUGGUCAUCAUUGAUAUGAACGACUCCUCGAAUCCGACGCGCCGUCCCAUAUCAGCGGACUCGGCCAUUAUGAAUCCGGCUAGCAAGGUGAUUGCGCUGAAAGCGCAAAAGACGCUGCAGAUUUUCAACAUUGAGAUGAAAUCGAAAAUGAAGGCGCACACGAUGAACGAGGAUGUGGUAUUCUGGAAAUGGAUAUCGCUCAAUACGCUCGCCCUGGUCACCGAGACGAGCGUCUUUCAUUGGUCGAUGGAGGGCGAUUCGAUGCCACAGAAAAUGUUCGAUAGACAUUCCUCGCUCAAUGGCUGUCAGAUAAUCAAUUACCGAUGCAAUGCCUCGCAGCAGUGGCUGCUCCUUGUUGGCAUUUCGGCGCUGCCCAGUCGUGUCGCUGGCGCCAUGCAAUUGUAUUCCGUCGAGCGUAAGGUGUCGCAGGCGAUUGAGGGUCAUGCCGCCAGCUUUGCCACCUUCAAGAUCGAGGGCAACAAGGAGCCGACAACGCUUUUCUGUUUUGCCGUACGCACCGCAACCGGUGGCAAGCUGCACAUCAUUGAGGUCGGCACACCGCCCAAUGGCAAUCAGCCGUUCCCGAAGAAGGCCGUCGAUGUAUUCUUUCCGCCGGAGGCGCAAAAUGAUUUUCCGGUAGCGAUGCAAGUUUCCGCCAAGUACGAUACCAUCUAUUUGAUAACCAAAUAUGGAUAUAUCCAUCUGUACGAUAUGGAAACGGCCACGUGCAUCUACAUGAAUCGCAUAUCGGCCGAUACGAUUUUUGUGACCGCACCGCACGAGGCCAGCGGCGGCAUCAUUGGCGUCAAUCGCAAGGGUCAAGUGCUGUCCGUGACCGUUGACGAGGAGCAAAUAAUACCCUAUAUUAAUACAGUUCUCCAAAAUCCCGAUCUCGCACUGCGCAUGGCUGUGCGCAACAAUUUGGCUGGUGCCGAGGAUCUGUUUGUUCGUAAAUUCAAUAAACUCUUUGGCGCCGGUCAAUAUGCCGAAGCCGCCAAGGUGGCUGCAUUGGCCCCAAAGGGCAUUCUGCGUACACCGCAAACGAUUCAACGUUUCCAGCAGGUGCAGACGCCGGCGGGCUCAACGACGCCGCCGCUAUUGCAAUACUUUGGCAUACUCCUGGAUCAGGGUAAACUGAACAAGUUCGAAUCGUUGGAACUGUGCCGUCCAGUGCUACUGCAGGGCAAAAAGCAGCUGUGCGAAAAGUGGCUGAAGGAGGAGAAGCUCGAGUGCAGCGAGGAAUUGGGUGAUCUUGUUAAGACAUCGGAUCUAACACUCGCUCUGUCCAUCUAUCUGCGCGCCAAUGUGCCCAACAAGGUGAUUCAAUGCUUUGCCGAAACGGGCCAAUUCCAAAAGAUCGUGCUCUACGCCAAGAAGGUUAACUAUACACCCGACUAUAUAUUCCUGUUGCGUUCCGUGAUGCGCAGCAAUCCGGAACAGGGCGCAGGCUUUGCCUCUAUGCUGGUCGCUGAGGAGGAGCCCCUGGCCGAUAUCAAUCAAAUUGUCGACAUCUUUAUGGAGCAUUCAAUGGUGCAACAAUGCACAGCCUUUUUACUGGACGCACUCAAGCAUAAUCGUCCCGCUGAGGGUGCCCUGCAGACGCGUCUGCUUGAAAUGAAUUUAAUGUCGGCGCCGCAGGUGGCGGAUGCCAUACUGGGCAACGCCAUGUUCACCCACUACGAUCGCGCCCACAUUGCCCAGCUGUGCGAGAAGGCCGGCCUAUUGCAGCGCGCUCUGGAACACUAUACGGAUCUGUAUGACAUCAAGCGUGCCGUUGUUCACACACAUAUGCUGAAUGCCGAAUGGCUGGUCAGUUUCUUUGGCACACUCUCCGUCGAGGAUUCGCUGGAGUGCCUGAAGGCCAUGCUAACGGCUAAUUUGCGCCAGAAUUUGCAGAUUUGCGUACAGAUUGCAACGAAAUAUCACGAGCAGCUGACAACCAAGGCGCUGAUUGAUCUGUUUGAGAGCUUUAAGAGCUACGACGGUCUCUUUUACUUUUUGAGCAGCAUUGUGAACUUCUCGCAGGAUCCAGAGGUGCAUUUCAAGUAUAUCCAGGCCGCCUGCAAGACCAACCAGAUCAAGGAGGUGGAGCGCAUCUGUCGCGAAUCCAAUUGCUAUAAUCCGGAGCGUGUCAAGAACUUCCUAAAGGAGGCCAAAUUGACAGAUCAAUUGCCGUUGAUAAUUGUCUGUGAUCGUUUCGAUUUUGUUCACGAUCUGGUGCUCUAUCUUUACCGAAACAAUCUCCAAAAAUAUAUUGAGAUCUAUGUGCAGAAGGUGAAUCCAUCGCGUUUGCCGGUUGUUGUUGGCGGUCUUUUGGAUGUCGAUUGCAGUGAGGAUAUUAUUAAGAACCUCAUAUUGGUUGUCAAAGGUCAAUUCUCAACGGAUGAGCUGGUUGAAGAGGUGGAGAAGCGCAAUCGCUUAAAAUUGCUGUUGCCCUGGCUGGAAUCGCGCGUCCACGAAGGUUGCGUUGAGCCGGCCACACACAAUGCCUUGGCCAAAAUCUACAUUGAUUCCAACAAUAAUCCGGAGCGUUUCCUCAAAGAGAAUCAAUACUAUGAUAGUCGCGUCGUUGGCCGCUAUUGUGAGAAGCGUGAUCCGCACUUGGCCUGUGUCGCCUACGAGCGUGGUCAAUGCGAUCGGGAGCUGAUCGCCGUUUGCAAUGAGAACUCGCUGUUCAAGAGCGAGGCACGCUAUCUGGUUGGACGUCGCGAUGCUGAACUGUGGGCUGAGGUCCUAUCGGAGGCCAAUCCCUACAAGCGUCAGCUCAUCGAUCAGGUGGUGCAGACAGCUCUGUCCGAGACACAGGAUCCGGAUGAUAUCUCUGUUACGGUCAAGGCAUUCAUGACCGCCGAUUUGCCCAAUGAGCUGAUCGAACUGCUCGAAAAGAUCAUACUGGACUCUUCGGUGUUUAGCGAUCAUCGCAAUCUACAGAAUCUGCUCAUCCUGACCGCCAUCAAGGCGGAUCGCACACGCGUCAUGGACUACAUCAACCGUUUGGACAACUACGAUGCACCAGACAUUGCCAACAUUGCGAUUAGCAAUCAAUUGUACGAAGAGGCGUUCGCCAUAUUCAAGAAGUUUGAUGUGAACACCUCGGCCAUCCAGGUUCUAAUCGAUCAGGUCAACAAUUUGGAGCGUGCCAACGAGUUUGCCGAGCGCUGUAACGAGCCGGCGGUAUGGUCACAGCUGGCCAAGGCUCAGCUGCAACAGGGCCUGGUCAAGGAGGCAAUCGAUUCCUAUAUCAAGGCAGAUGAUCCCAGUGCCUAUAUGGAUGUCGUUGAUGUUGCCAGCAAAGUGGAAUCGUGGGAUGAUCUGGUGCGAUACCUGCAAAUGGCACGCAAGAAGGCACGCGAAUCCUACAUUGAAAGCGAAUUGAUUUAUGCGUAUGCCCGCACCGGACGCCUGGCCGAUCUCGAGGAAUUCAUCUCGGGCCCCAAUCAUGCGGACAUACAAAAGAUUGGCGAUCGCUGUUUCAGCGAUGGCAUGUACGAUGCCGCCAAAUUGUUGUACAACAAUGUUAGCAACUUUGCCCGUUUGGCCAUUACGUUGGUCUAUCUGAAGGAGUUCCAGGGCGCUGUCGAUUCGGCACGCAAAGCCAACUCGACGCGCACCUGGAAGGAGGUCUGUUUUGCGUGUGUCGAUGCCGAAGAGUUUCGUUUGGCGCAAAUGUGCGGCCUGCAUAUUGUUGUACAUGCCGAUGAGCUCGAGGAUUUGAUUAACUAUUAUCAGAAUCGUGGCUAUUUCGAGGAGCUAAUUGCGCUGCUGGAAUCGGCGCUUGGUUUGGAGCGCGCACACAUGGGCAUGUUCAGCGAAUUGGCAAUACUCUAUUCCAAGUUUAAGCCAUCUAAGAUGCGCGAGCAUCUGGAGCUGUUCUGGUCGCGUGUCAAUAUACCGAAGGUAUUGCGUGCCGCCGAAUCGGCGCAUCUGUGGUCCGAGCUGGUCUUUCUCUAUGACAAGUAUGAGGAAUAUGAUAACGCUGUGCUCGCCAUGAUGGCCCAUCCGACGGAGGCGUGGCGCGAGGGCCACUUCAAGGACAUUAUCACCAAGGUGGCCAACAUUGAGCUGUACUACAAGGCCAUCGAAUUCUAUUUGGACUUUAAGCCGCUGCUCCUGAACGAUAUGCUACUCGUGCUAGCCCCACGCAUGGAUCACACCCGUGCCGUUAGCUAUUUCUCCAAGACGGGCUACCUGCCGCUGGUCAAACCAUAUUUGCGCUCCGUACAGUCGCUCAACAACAAGGCAAUCAACGAGGCGCUUAAUGGACUGCUCAUCGAUGAGGAGGAUUACCAGGGCUUGCGCAACUCCAUCGAUGGCUUUGACAACUUUGAUACCAUUGCGCUGGCGCAGAAGCUUGAGAAGCACGAGCUCACCGAAUUCCGUCGCAUUGCAGCCUAUCUCUACAAGGGCAACAACCGCUGGAAGCAGAGCGUUGAGCUGUGCAAAAAGGACAAACUGUACAAGGAUGCUAUGGAGUAUGCCGCCGAGUCUGGCAAACAGGAAAUUGCUGAGGAGCUGUUGGGCUGGUUCCUGGAGCGCAACGCACACGAUUGCUUUGCGGCAUGCCUAUAUCAGUGCUACGAUUUGCUGCGUCCCGAUGUCAUCCUGGAACUGGCAUGGAAACAUAAAAUCAUGGACUUUGCCAUGCCCUACUUGAUCCAGGUGCUGCGCGAGUAUACCACCAAGGUGGAUAAACUGGAGCUAAAUGAGGCGCAACGCGAGAAGGAGGACGACACAACGGAGCAUAAAAACAUAAUACAAAUGGAGCCGCAGCUGAUGAUAACAGCUGGUCCAGCAAUGGGCAUACCGCCCCAAUAUGCCACAAAUUAUCCACCUGGCGCGGCAGCAGCGGCUGCAGCAGCGGCAGGACGCAACAUGGGCUAUCCGUAUAUGUAGGCAUCUAACAACAACACAAUUGUAGCUGUAACAACAACAACAACAACAACAACAACAACAACAACCAGCAGCAACAGCAUCAACAACAACACCAUAAACAACAAAAACAUAAACAAUGACAACUGAAUGCCGCAUUCAUUAAUCCUUUGCAUGAGCGCCAAAACCGACCAAUUCAACAACAACAACAACAACAAAACACCAACACAACAACAACAACACGCGUAGUGAAAUAUGUAUACCCAUAUAUAUAUGUAUAUAUAUAUAUAUAUCCAUUUUUUUGUUCAUAAUGUUGAGCCACCAAAAAGUUGCCUUUGACAGAAACAAUAAUUCGGUACAAAAGCAAUUAAGCGAAUGCCUCAAAAUAGCUCCAACAACAACAACAACAACAACUUCGUCAGAGCGAACACGACAACAACAUAAGCUUAAAAGAAAAGGAGAAGAAUAACAAGAACAAAGAAACGUUUACGCUAACAACAAAAACUAGUGUUCAGCUAACAAAAUAAAAAAAAAUGGUCGUAGUUUAUUAUUAUUAUUAAAAUUAUUACAUUUUAAGCAUAAAAAAUAAACACAAAGAAAUCAUUAAAAAAACACCACACAUACACACAAAUACCCACACACAGACACGUAUAAAUAUAUAAACAUUAAUGCAAAUAUAAAUACAAAUUAAAUAAAUAAAAUUUAUUAAUUAUAAAUAAUAAAAAAAACAAUAUCGGAGAAUUAUAUACACGUGUAUAUGAUCAUAUGAUGCACGCAACAUCUAAUAAACAAAACGUAAAGCACUUUUGCAAUUAGCAAAAACAAAAAAAAAAAACAAA